UCGAAGACUCCAUCGUCCGACACGUAAGUGCUACGUUAGCUGAAGGUAAAGUCCACACUCAUUGUUUGCCUGGUGCUCGUGUUCUCGAUGUUUCUGCGCAGAUACCCGCGAUCCUGAAGGACGACGAGAGCCCCAGAGCGGUCGUGCUUCACGCCGGGGUUAACGACACCAUGCUGCGGCAGACGGAGACGCUGAAGAGGGACUUCAGGAGCCUGAUCGAGACGGUUCGCAGCACGACGCCCGCGGCGACGAUCGUCGUGUCAGGACCACUGCCCACGUAUCGACGAGGACACGAAAGCGUCCUAGACUGUUUCGCGCUGAUGGAUUACACCCCAGCAGAAUUGGAGCGGAGCUUCUCUCUGACAACAUCUCCAGGACACUUCGCUCCAUGUAACUAGAUUUACACAAGCUCCAGUCUGGUUCCAGAACACCUGAGAAGAGAUGAUGCUGACCCUCAGAGGAACCCAGAUGAUGCUAACCCUGAAUCAACAAACAGAACUAACAAUUAUUGCUAAAUGUGUGACUGAAUCAUAUAAUAACUUAAUUAAUAAUAUUGAUAGUUCAUCGUAGCUGACUACGUCUUGUAUUAUUAUUAUUAUUUUAAUUUUUUCUAAAAUCCUGUCAAAUGUGCACAAACUACUAGCUACUACUAAAUAUUGUAGAAACAUAAUUUUCUGUAAAGUUGCUUUGUAACGAUUUGUUUUGUAAAAAGCGCUAUACAAAUAAACUUGAA
Molecule: long non-coding RNA, 733 nt
Organism: Carassius gibelio (silver crucian carp)
Lineage: Eukaryota; Metazoa; Chordata; Actinopteri; Cypriniformes; Cyprinidae
Exons: 3
Source: RefSeq, a predicted model, not a curated record